This 202-nucleotide long non-coding RNA is filed under the name Mytilus galloprovincialis (Mediterranean mussel). The record is from RNAcentral. Lineage: Eukaryota; Metazoa; Mollusca; Bivalvia; Mytilida; Mytilidae.
GUUAUUUAUCCCCAAGUUCCUUAAUCCGGCAUUCAAUGUAGUGUUUCUUGCAAACAAAAACAAUAUUGUUUGUUAUGGAGGCAAGACACAACUCUUCUAAGACACGAGGGUCUUUAAAGAUGGAAGGAGCUUUGGUGCUCAUUGACCCUUUAAGAUCACAUAUUUUCUUUACUCUUCGUUAUAUAGUUAUAUUCAUUUACAG